UGUCGUUUUUCCUUCUCUUAUUGUUUUUUUUGUUGGUUCUUCUUUCCUCCCCCGAGGAUCGAGGUAUAUCCAUAGAGAAUGAGAGGAAAG
This 90-nucleotide non-coding RNA is filed under the name Lotharella globosa. The record is from RNAcentral. Lineage: Eukaryota; Cercozoa; Chlorarachniophyceae.